Trematomus bernacchii (emerald rockcod) is the source of this 255-nucleotide long non-coding RNA. RefSeq lists it as uncharacterized. Lineage: Eukaryota; Metazoa; Chordata; Actinopteri; Perciformes; Nototheniidae. The record is from RefSeq and is a predicted model, not a curated record. The transcript has 3 exons.
GCCCUCUCAGUCUCUUGCGCAGGCAGCAACCUUGGUACAGUGAUAUACAGAGGAAAGAGAAGCGUGGACUAGAUAUGACGCAAUACCUCCAUCUUCCUUUUUCUCCUCUUCCUCCUUCAUCAGUCCCGCACCACUCCAAUAAAGCUAACUCGUGGAUGAAUAGAAGAACGACUUGCCUGCACUGGACAACAUGCCUGUGUGUUGUCCAGUGGUGAUAGUGAAAUCAUUUUAAUAAUACAUUUUAAUGUGUUUUUA